CGCACGGGCAUGCUCAGUACGGCGAGUGAAGCGGCAAGAGCUCAAAUUUGAAAGCUGGCUCCUUCGGGGUCCGCAUUGUAAUUUGCAGAGGAUGCUUCGGGUGCGGCCCCUGUCUAAGUGCCCUGGAACGGGCCGUCAGAGAGGGUGAGAAUCCCGUCUGGGAUGGGGUGUCCGCGCCCGUGUGAAGCUCCUUCGACGAGUCGAGUUGUUUGGGAAUGCAGCUCUAAAUGGGUGGUAAAUUUCAUCUAAAGCUAAAUACUGGCCGGAGACCGAUAGCGCACAAGUAGAGUGAUCGAAAGAUGAAAAGCACUUUGAAAAGAGAGUUAAAAAGCACGUGAAAUUGUUGAAAGGGAAGCGCUUGCGACCAGACUCGCCUCCAGGGUUCAGCCGGCAUUCGUGCCGGUGUACUUCCCUGGGGGCGGGCCAGCGUCGGUUUGGGCGGCCGGUCAAAGGCUCCCGGAAUGUAGUGCCCUCCGGGGCACCUUAUAGCCGGGAGUGCAAUGCGGCCAGCCUGGACCGAGGAACGCGCUUCGGCACGGACGCUGGCAUAAUGGUCGUAAACGACCCGUCUUGAAACCGGGACCAAA
Molecule: ribosomal RNA, 587 nt
Filed under: Aspergillus flavus
Lineage: Eukaryota; Fungi; Ascomycota; Eurotiomycetes; Eurotiales; Aspergillaceae
Description: partial large subunit ribosomal RNA
Rfam family: Eukaryotic large subunit ribosomal RNA
Source: RNAcentral